CUUUUCAAGUGUUUAUUUUUAUACAUUUUUUUGUAUUAAAAAGAAAAGCAUAAUUACCACAAAUUACAAAGGACUAAAGCAGGACUAGAAUAAUGAAUGAAUCACUUCAGCCUGGAAAGCAGAUACUCUCAAUAAUAUUAAUGUUAUAAUACAAGCUCAUUCAAGUAUUUUACAUUUUUUUGUCCUUUUAAAUAUGAUAUCCUAGCACAUAGUAAAGAUAAUGUACUACGAGCGUAAGGUGGAACCUUCUCCGCAAAGCCAGAUGACAAGUUUUCCUCUCCAUGAACGUGCAGUCAUGCCCAUAACCGACACACAUCCCAGUCCAUGUGGGUCAGUCCUUCAUCACCCUCCCUGCCUUCUGACAACAGCAGACUCCAGCCAUUCCAUUAUCAUUCACAGCCCAACCCAAGCAGUCAGUGGCUGAAGAAAGAGAAUCAGGUAUACUCUAUGUCCACAUAUACCUUCCUGCCACAGGGCUUCACCAACUGGCAGGAUUCCCCCCAGCCCCCAACUCCUCCUCAUCCCUUGUUCCCAGGCGGGUCAAUUGGAGAGUGAGCAGAGAUAGAUGGCUUGCAGAAGGGUAUGCAAGAUGGGGAGACUCCACCAGACCUUAGGGAGAGAAUGGCAUCUUUCUCCACCUUUUAAGAGAGACAGAGCCUCCCUGAGGUCUCAAAGAUUUUUCAGGGCAACACAAGAAACGUUUCCAAGCCUCAGCUGCAGGUGUUCACCUUUCCACUCUGGGGUGUGAGGAGAUGGUAAGCUGAGGACAAGUGUGUUCCAGAUGCAGGCCAACUCUGUUCUCCAACAGUUUGAACCAACUUGGCCUUGGGGUUCCAAGGGUAGGAUGAAGGGUGUCACGGCAGGACGGGGCCUGGCGUGAGGCAACAGCAAGCAGAGCGAGGACACAACAGUGGCAGCAGUGUACAGACACAGGACGUCAGCUUCAAACGAUGCAACAGCAGGGAUAUCUUGGGCACGGCUCUGAUUCGAGCCACUCCCAACUCUCUUGCCUCCAGGAUGGAGGCACUGUACAUGCAACAGUCCAGAGAAAGAUUCUAGCCAGUCCAAGCCCAGGCACAUCCAGAGAAGGUGGGAGCUCUUCGGGUUGACUCCACCGAGGAAAACAGGCAUUUGGGUAUUUCAGAUUCCCGCUCCACAAUAAGGCAACUUUUAAAAAAAUAUUAUUUCCAAAAACAAAACAAAAAU
Molecule: long non-coding RNA, 1206 nt
Filed under: Homo sapiens (human)
Lineage: Eukaryota; Metazoa; Chordata; Mammalia; Primates; Hominidae
Description: HSALNT0096528
Source: RNAcentral